ACAAUUGUAAGUACAAUGUAGCUACUACAGGUACAUUAGCCAUCUUCAUUAGUAGUUGCACUUAUACACAACCUUCAUAACCCACUUGCCCACCCACAUUUACACACAAUUCACCCACUUAAAUACCCAACACAGUUGCAAUCAAUUAAACCCAGGAGAGGAGCCUAAAACAGGCUCUCCAAGCAAAGAGGGAAACAAAAACAGGGCAGUUUGCUAGGAGUUUGCUGGGGGCAACAGGAGGAAGGAAAUCAGACAGCAAGGCCAGAUCUAGCUCUGGAAAAUGGAGUUAACCAGUACAGGAGGUGAACGGGCCGACCAGGGGGAAGACUGUUGGAUUUGGUUCUAGCUGAAGGGGAUGACCUCAUGGGACAUCUGAGGAUUGAAGAAACAUCGAAGUGGCAAGCACUACUGGAGAUAACAUCAGGGAACAGUGCUCCUCUCCAACUUAUUUACACAGGUGUGUAAAUAUAAACUUGAAAGAAGGGUUCCUUGCACAUGCUCCCAUCUUUGGUCACCCUCACCAGGGCUGUAUGUCUUCCGGAUAUCCAACUUACAACAGUUGCUUUAAAAUAAA
Long non-coding RNA from Alligator mississippiensis (American alligator), 574 nucleotides. RefSeq lists it as uncharacterized. The transcript is spliced from 3 exons. NCBI's taxonomy places the organism in Eukaryota, Metazoa, Chordata, Crocodylia, Alligatoridae. The record is from RefSeq and is a predicted model, not a curated record.